Molecule: non-coding RNA, 46 nt
Filed under: Schistosoma curassoni
Lineage: Eukaryota; Metazoa; Platyhelminthes; Trematoda; Strigeidida; Schistosomatidae
Source: RNAcentral
GGACUGCUGAGGAGUCCCGCAACGGGACGAAAUGGCCGUCCUGUGC